Molecule: ribosomal RNA, 1442 nt
Filed under: Clostridium botulinum A str. ATCC 3502
Lineage: Bacteria; Bacillati; Bacillota; Clostridia; Eubacteriales; Clostridiaceae
Description: bacterial SSU rRNA
Rfam family: Bacterial small subunit ribosomal RNA
Source: RNAcentral
GCUGGCGGCGUGCUUAACACAUGCAAGUCGAGCGAUGAAGCUUCCUUCGGGGAGUGGAUUAGCGGCGGACGGGUGAGUAACACGUGGGUAACCUGCCUCAAAGUGGGGGAUAGCCUUCCGAAAGGAAGAUUAAUACCGCAUAAUAUAAGAGAAUCGCAUGAUUUUCUUAUCAAAGAUUUAUUGCUUUGAGAUGGACCCGCGGCGCAUUAGCUAGUUGGUAAGAUAACGGCUUACCAAGGCAACGAUGCGUAGCCGACCUGAGAGGGUGAUCGGCCACAUUGGAACUGAGACACGGUCCAGACUCCUACGGGAGGCAGCAGUGGGGAAUAUUGCGCAAUGGGGGAAACCCUGACGCAGCAACGCCGCGUGGGUGAUGAAGGUCUUCGGAUUGUAAAGCCCUGUUUUCUAGGACGAUAAUGACGGUACUAGAGGAGGAAGCCACGGCUAACUACGUGCCAGCAGCCGCGGUAAUACGUAGGUGGCGAGCGUUGUCCGGAUUUACUGGGCGUAAAGGGUGCGUAGGCGGAUGUUUAAGUGGGAUGUGAAAUCCCCGGGCUUAACCUGGGGGCUGCAUUCCAAACUGGAUAUCUAGAGUGCAGGAGAGGAAAGCGGAAUUCCUAGUGUAGCGGUGAAAUGCGUAGAGAUUAGGAAGAACACCAGUGGCGAAGGCGGCUUUCUGGACUGUAACUGACGCUGAGGCACGAAAGCGUGGGUAGCAAACAGGAUUAGAUACCCUGGUAGUCCACGCCGUAAACGAUGGAUACUAGGUGUAGGGGGUAUCAACUCCCCCUGUGCCGCAGUUAACACAAUAAGUAUCCCGCCUGGGGAGUACGGUCGCAAGAUUAAAACUCAAAGGAAUUGACGGGGGCCCGCACAAGCAGCGGAGCAUGUGGUUUAAUUCGAAGCAACGCGAAGAACCUUACCUGGACUUGACAUCCCUUGCAUAGCCUAGAGAUAGGUGAAGCCCUUCGGGGCAAGGAGACAGGUGGUGCAUGGUUGUCGUCAGCUCGUGUCGUGAGAUGUUAGGUUAAGUCCUGCAACGAGCGCAACCCUUGUUAUUAGUUGCUACCAUUAAGUUGAGCACUCUAAUGAGACUGCCUGGGUAACCAGGAGGAAGGUGGGGAUGACGUCAAAUCAUCAUGCCCCUUAUGUCCAGGGCUACACACGUGCUACAAUGGUAGGUACAAUAAGACGCAAGACCGUGAGGUGGAGCAAAACUUAUAAAACCUAUCUCAGUUCGGAUUGUAGGCUGCAACUCGCCUACAUGAAGCUGGAGUUGCUAGUAAUCGCGAAUCAGAAUGUCGCGGUGAAUACGUUCCCGGGCCUUGUACACACCGCCCGUCACACCAUGAGAGCUGGUAACACCCGAAGUCCGUGAGGUAACCGUAAGGAGCCAGCGGCCGAAGGUGGGAUUAGUGAUUGGGGUGAAGUCGUAACAAGGU